Molecule: ribosomal RNA, 160 nt
Filed under: uncultured Gammaproteobacteria bacterium
Lineage: Bacteria; Pseudomonadati; Pseudomonadota; Gammaproteobacteria
Description: partial 16S ribosomal RNA
Rfam family: Bacterial small subunit ribosomal RNA
Source: RNAcentral
ACUCCUACGGGAGGCAGCAGUGGGGAAUCUUGGACAAUGGGGGCAACCCUGAUCCAGCCAUGCCGCGUGUGUGAAGAAGGCCUUCGGGUUGUAAAGCACUUUCAGUAGGGAGGAAGGCUUAUCCUUAAUACGGAUGAGUACUUGACGUUACCAUCCGAAG